AAGAUUAAGCCAUGCAUGUCUAAGUAUAAGCAAUCUAUACAGUGAAACUGCGAAUGGCUCAUUAAAUCAGUUAUCGUUUAUUUGAUAAUACUUUACUACUUGGAUAACCGUGGUAAUUCUAGAGCUAAUACAUGCUAAAAAUCCUUUCCUCUGGUUAGGAUGUAUUUAUUAGAUAAAAACCAAUGUCUUCGGACUCUUUGGUGAUUCAUAAUAACUUUUCGAAUCGCAU
This 229-nucleotide ribosomal RNA is filed under the name uncultured fungus. RNAcentral's name for it is "partial 18S ribosomal RNA". It matches the Rfam family "Eukaryotic small subunit ribosomal RNA", at positions 40 to 274 of the family's 1831-position model. The record is from RNAcentral. Lineage: Eukaryota; Fungi.